GCAUUGGUGGUUCAGAGGUAGAAUUCUUGCCUGCCAUGCGGGAGGCCUGGGUUUGUUUCCCAGCCUAUGGG
This 71-nucleotide transfer RNA is filed under the name Salmo salar (Atlantic salmon). It matches the Rfam family "tRNA". Rfam says of the family: Transfer RNA (tRNA) molecules are approximately 80 nucleotides in length. Lineage: Eukaryota; Metazoa; Chordata; Actinopteri; Salmoniformes; Salmonidae. The record is from Rfam by way of RNAcentral.